AGCCCAGGGGCCAACAGACGCCACAGGGGUCUCCUGAGGACAGAGGGCGAGACGCCCACCCCAUAAGUAGCGCCAACAAGUGACUCACCAUGAUGAGAGCCGUGUCGCUGAAGCCUUCGGCAAUCCUGGAGGCCACCUUCUCUGCGACCUGGUUUGGACUAAAGAGAGGAGCCGGUCAGUUCUCCAGGUCCCCACCAGAGAGGAGCCGGUCAGUUCUCCAGGUCCCCAGAGAGGAGCCGGUCAGUUCUCCAGGUCCCCAGAGGGGAGCUGGUCAGUUCUCCAGGUCCCCACCAGAGAGGAGCCGGUCAGUUCUCCAGGUCCCCACCAGAGAGGAGCUGGUCAGUUCUCCCAGGUCCUGGUUAAGGCCGCUCAGCGCUGUCCACGGCAGCAAGUGGGCACCAAGAAAGACUGCCAGGCCCG
This is a non-coding RNA of Oryctolagus cuniculus (rabbit), 420 nucleotides long. The record is from RefSeq and is a predicted model, not a curated record. NCBI's taxonomy places the organism in Eukaryota, Metazoa, Chordata, Mammalia, Lagomorpha, Leporidae.